UCCGCCCUCCGCCUGCGCCCCCCGCGCCCAGUGCUCCCGGCUCCCGCGGCCCGCGUUCCAGGUAACCCGAUCCCGGCGCACGUGACGCCGCGGAGGCCGGCCUCACCCCCGAGCUGGGCACAGGACGGGACAUCUGUCACAGAGGCUGGCGUCAGCCCCCUUUGAGGAGCAGUAUUCGGUUUUCCCUGGUCUCUGGAUGAUGGCCCUUGACCAGAGGAGGCACCAGCAGAACCUCGAGGGCAGCACUGGGCACCCAGGAGAGAAAGGAGAAGUCCCGGAGCUAACCUGCCAGCACUCAUUAUCCAGGUCACCAGUCGCCUGGGUGUCCUGAUGUCCCUGGAAGCCACACCCAGCAACACCAGAGCCUCCCAGGCAUGGAGUAACUUGGGCCAGCAGCCCCUUCCUCCCCCAGGUCUCUCCCACUCACUCUUUCUCCUUCAACACUCUUCUUUUCAUUUGCUAAUUUGCCUCUAAAAGACCUGACUCCUGCUUUUCUUCCACCCUGGAAACUGAAUUAUGGCAAUUUAACAUUAUAACAUAAUUCUACUGCAAUAAAGCAGUCUGGUGUCAUGAUGGUGAUGGAGUGGAUGGGGUGGGGUAGGGGCAGAGGAUUCACUGGAGGGGACUUUCUGCAUUUGGUUAUGAAGUGCUAGUACACAGCCUUGUUCUGGGACCUUAUUUAUUUAUGUAUUCCUUGCACCUGUUCUGCCACCGAGCUGUGUCCCCAGCUCUGAACGCUUACUUUAUUUAAAAACAUCUUAUUUAGAUAUUAAUCUAAUGUAAAUAUUAGAGAAUUGCUGCCACUUGAAACCAUACAAAUAUUCAUCUUUAUGAUGACAAAAGAAUCCAUUAAAGUUUUUUCAAGGAA
Molecule: long non-coding RNA, 868 nt
Organism: Ictidomys tridecemlineatus (thirteen-lined ground squirrel)
Lineage: Eukaryota; Metazoa; Chordata; Mammalia; Rodentia; Sciuridae
Source: RefSeq, a predicted model, not a curated record